RNAcentral lists this ribosomal RNA (465 nucleotides) under uncultured bacterium. Its description in RNAcentral is "partial 16S ribosomal RNA". It matches the Rfam family "Bacterial small subunit ribosomal RNA", at positions 28 to 507 of the family's 1533-position model. The record is from RNAcentral.
GACGAACGCUGGCGGCGUGCUUAACACAUGCAAGUCGAACGGAAAGGCCCCCUUGUGGGGUACUCGAGUGGCGAACGGGUGAGUAACACGUGAGUAACCUACCCUUGACUUUGGGAUAACUUCAGGAAACUGGGGCUAAUACCGGAUAGAAGCUCCUGCUGCAUGGUGGGGGUUGGAAAGUUUCGGCGGUUGGGGAUGGACUCGCGGCUUAUCGGCUUGUUGGUGGGGUAGUGGCUCACCAAGGCUUUGACGGGUAGCCGGCCUGAGAGGGUGACCGGCCACAUUGGGACUGAGAUACGGCCCAGACUCCUACGGGAGGCAGCAGUGGGGAAUAUUGCACAAUGGGCGGAAGCCUGAUGCAGCAACGCCGCGUGCGGGAUGACGGCCUUCGGGUUGUAAACCGCUUUCGCCUGUGACGAAGCGUGAGUGACGGUAAUGGGUAAAGAAGCACCGGCUAACUACGUG